AUAUCCCUUCUACCACCAACCUACAUUUCUCCUCAAAAUAAAGUUCUUUACUUUAACUUCCUUUCAAAACUGAAUCUAUUUUUUCCCUUUUGAGUCUUACCUCCUUCCACAGAUUACUCAACAUUUCCCAAAGACACCUUGAACCUCUGCCUGCCCUUCUGCUUCUGUCUCUAAUGCUCCUCACCUCUGCCUCUCCAAAUCCUACCCAUUCAUAGAGUCACUCAUCUGUGAAGUUGUAGAGCAAAAGGAGCUCUAGGAAUCUGGUCUAACUAUGAAGAAUGAUGAACCUCAGGUCUAUGCAACAAUGCUCGGGAGCAGAGUGACCGAGCCACGACUCAAAAGUGACCCCAAAGUCUUUUAUUUGUUCCCUUUCCAUGUUCUUUCUUCAAGAAUCAGCUUUAGCUACCAUACCAUCUCUUUCUGAAAGAUUUUACUCAUCAUUGCAGCCAGAAAUUUUUUCUCUGUCUCUUCUAACCUCAGGUGGCAUUUUGGUUGUAGCCCUCUUGAGAUACUUAGUUCUUUUUAGGUUGUGUUUUUGUUAUUGGCCAGGUUCUGAGAGAAAGCUAUUCCCUGUGCUGAGAGCAAGGAUACUGGGUGGUCCCUGGGGUGCUGUUUUCCUAAUGGCCUGAUGGUGCAAGUGGAAAGAAUAAUGAGUAGAUGGUAUUGCCCAAUAGCUAGAUAAUAUGACUAAGGCUUGAGUCAGCAAGGGCUAUGACUAUCCUUAACAUUCUGGGCAGUGUUUAGGGUAAAGAAGCCACUGUGGGAAAAUGGAGCAGGGUUUUCUGGAUGAUUCCAGGGUUACAGAUUAAGUAUGGUGGAGAAGAAAUGGUCUUUGGCAGAAUAUCAUCAUAUCUCAUUAUAUUCAACCUAAGCCCAGGAUAACUUGUCAUAAAGAGAGAUACACAAAAUGCAAAAACCUAAUGUAACUCUGACUCUGUGAUUACAGCCUUAUCCAAAAUCUCUGGAGGUAACACCAGUGGAAGCAACCUUAGAAGAGGAAUGAGUUGGCAGGAGGCAAGAGGCAGGAAAGCACUGAGUAAGAGCUGGCAGUGUCAGUGUCAGCAUCAGAUCAAUUAUAGAGAAUGUUUCAUCAUGAGAUGUGAGCAUCAUGUUCCAGGCCCUGAGUGCUUCAUAAAAAAAAAAGUUCCUUUUCCACCAAAACAAUGCCCUGAUUUGAGUGCUUCAUCAAAAGAGAAAGAUUUCUCAUGAUAAACCAUAUUCUAAGCACUUAGAUCACAAUAUAGUAAAUUUUCAAAAGGAAGUCACUUUUGCCAAGAUAUAAAGGCUCAUGUACGUAAAUUCUAUGCUUCCAAUAUAAGUACAUUUCAAAAAUAUUAUUAAACCCUUAUU
This is a long non-coding RNA of Homo sapiens (human), 1350 nucleotides long. Lineage: Eukaryota; Metazoa; Chordata; Mammalia; Primates; Hominidae. The record is from Ensembl.